Penaeus indicus is the source of this 154-nucleotide long non-coding RNA. RefSeq lists it as uncharacterized. The transcript has 3 exons. The record is from RefSeq and is a predicted model, not a curated record. NCBI's taxonomy places the organism in Eukaryota, Metazoa, Arthropoda, Malacostraca, Decapoda, Penaeidae.
CAGCCUGGCGAAGCAAGUUCACACAACAUACGUUCUGUGUACGUCUGAAGGGCUGACACAUACAUAUUUGUAUGACGAAAACCCGCUUCUUGUGUCUCCCAGUUGACUGUAGCCGACUGUACUGGCGGUGGAUGUGAUCGUCUUUCCUGAGCUU